This 469-nucleotide ribosomal RNA is filed under the name uncultured bacterium. RNAcentral's name for it is "bacterial SSU rRNA". It matches the Rfam family "Bacterial small subunit ribosomal RNA", at positions 47 to 507 of the family's 1533-position model. The record is from RNAcentral.
CCUAACACAUGCAAGUCGAGCGGUAACAUUUCUAGCUUGCUAGAAGAUGACGAGCGGCGGACGGGUGAGUAACGCGUAGAAAUCUACCUAGUAGUGGGGAUAGCCCAGAGAAAUUUGGAUUAAUACCGCAUACGCCCUACGGGGGAAAGCGGGGGAGUCUUCGGACCUCGUGCUAUUAGAUGAGUCUGCGUCGGAUUAGCUCGUUGGUGAGGUAAUGGCUCACCAAGGCGACGAUCCGUAGCUGGUCUGAGAGGAUGACCAGCCACACUGGAACUGAGACACGGUCCAGACUCCUACGGGAGGCAGCAGUGGGGAAUAUUGCACAAUGGGCGCAAGCCUGAUGCAGCCAUGCCGCGUGUGUGAAGAAGGCCUUAGGGUUGUAAAGCACUUUCAGCAGUGAGGAAAGGGGUGUCGUUAAUAGCGCCAUCCUGUGACGUUAACUGCAGAAGAAGGACCGGCUAACUCCGUG